ACGUCUCCUCUGUCCUCCCCCUCACUAGGAACUACCAGAGGACAUCCGUGCAAACCUGACGGAGGAGCUGCCUCAGCCCAGAGAAAUCCCCAGGAAACUCAGCGAGUACACGCAGGAGGAGAUAGACGCCUUCCCCAGGCUGUGGACACCACCUGAAGACUACAAGAUGAAAUGAAACCGAGGCUGCCGACCCGACGUGACCAAAGCUGAAAAGGGUUUUUCACAUCAACGCUACAUUGAAAGCAACAGACCCCUUGGUUAUGUUAUAAUACCUGACAGAUAUUGUAAAAAUUGGAGUAUUUGAUGUGGAGAUGUUGUUCUGUUUUUAAAACACACAAAUUUUUUUUGUUCAGAUUAAACAUUACAAAACAGUCACAUUUUGUGCAAAUUCAGGAAACCACACUGGCAUCAAGGCUCUACUGGACUUUACUAAAGCACUACUAAGUCGUAACUUGUGUGCCAACAUCAUCAACACAAACUCUGUGCCGCCUGACAGCAGACCUGAAUCAUCCAGUAACAGCUUGAGAUUUUACCAUGUGGUUCAGCUCUGAUCAGAGAAAAUCAGAUUCUGUAGGUUUCCCUCUGAUUAUACAACCAUGAAAUGAUCAGAUCUGGCCCAUAAAAAAUGACAUCUGUUAGUGCUGAUCCUGCCUUUGAAGGUUUGUGGGUUCCAGUGAAACCAGUUAAUGAGUUACUAUGACAACGUUCAGGCCAUCCAUGUGGUUUCAGUAGAAAUGCUGAACUUUUUGUCUGGUCAGAAAUUUUAAUGGUGUUGUUAAAGUAUAAAGCAGCAGUGUUUAUGUGAGUUGUAAAAUAGGCUAAUAAACAAUUUAAUAAACCUGUUCUCAUCAA
This is a long non-coding RNA of Micropterus salmoides (largemouth bass), 852 nucleotides long. RefSeq lists it as uncharacterized. The transcript has 2 exons. Lineage: Eukaryota; Metazoa; Chordata; Actinopteri; Centrarchiformes; Centrarchidae. The record is from RefSeq and is a predicted model, not a curated record.